This 262-nucleotide ribosomal RNA is filed under the name uncultured archaeon. RNAcentral's name for it is "partial 16S ribosomal RNA". It matches the Rfam family "Archaeal small subunit ribosomal RNA", at positions 748 to 1008 of the family's 1478-position model. The record is from RNAcentral.
AGGGUGUAAACGCUGCAGACUUGGUGUUGGAGGCCCUUUGGGGGCAUUCAGUGCCGGAGAGAAGUUGUUAAGUCUGCUACUUGGGGAGUACGUCCGCAAGGAUGAAACUUAAAGGAAUUGGCGGGGGGAGCACCGCAACGGGAGGAGCGUGCGGUUUAAUUGGAUUCAACACCGUAAAACUCACCAGGGAAGACUGUCACAUGAAGGCCGAGAUGAAGACUCUGCUAGAUUUUCAGAGAGGAGGUGCAUGGCGUCAGUGACU